AGAAAGUGGCACUGGAACCGAGUGACCACAAAAAACUAACUCUCCUCCGAACACAACACAACAAAGCUCUCACUUUUUAUCAGUUAUCAAAAUCCAACAUAAAACCUCCAUCAAAUCAAACAAUAGAUCUCAUUUACAAAAUCUUUACAAGAAACCCUCUUAAAACGAUCGCCCAAAAAAGUUAAAAAUCAACUCUUUUUUGAUCCAUCGAUACGGAAAAGAGAAAGAAAAGGGCACAAGAUUUAAAGAGAGAUAAAAAGGAAAAAAAAUGCAAAGCGGGGGAUCGAGUAACAAGCUAUCCAGUAUGAUUACUAGGACCAGGAUAUCAUCUAUAUUGCUUUCAAUGUUUACGUAGCUGGCAGGUUAGUGUUCUUAGAUUUUGUAUAUUGACAAUUGUGUUUGAUUCACUGCUAUGUGAUUUUUUUUUUUUGGUAAAAAAAUGAAUUUUUUAACGUUCAAUUUGGUAAAAAUGUGAUUUUUUUUUAUCUGGGCUGGUGAUAGAUUGUGGCAGGAUGCUCAGACCAGAGUUCGUUUGAUUAAAGAGCCGGAUAGAAUCACUGGUCAUGUGAUUUUUUUUUUUUGCUUUUUAAAUUAUUGUCUGGGUGAUUUUGGUUUAGAAAGUUACCUGUCUAAAUGCGGUUAAUCACAAAUUUGAAUUUCACUAGUCAUUUGGUGUAUAUUGUAUAUGACUAUUAAGUGGUUGAUUGAUGUUUAGGGCAAAUCUGCUAUAUCAGUGGAUGAUACUCUGGAAAUCAUAGCAUGCAGGAAAAUAUAAUCCCUGUUGAACAUUCCCAUAAUGCAAUUCAGUAAAGCAUGGAUGGGAACUGGUAAACUAUUUCUUUCUUUCUAUUCCUUGCCUCCUUUUUUCCUAUGUGCAAGAUUGGCUUUGUCCAGGUGUUUUUUUUUUUUUUUGGUGCAUAAACGGCAUUGUUGUAUUCAUUAUAGUUCAUUUGUCCAGUAUUUAGAGUUCCAGAUGCUGAACAGGAUUAAUCACAGGACAUUAACAUAAAUAAAAGAUUUGUUGUAUAGUUACGGGAAUUUAAGGUUAUUAUGUUAAGGUAGAAGUUAGUUUUUAAAGGGAACCCUAAGGAUUACCAGCACAGCACCAUGCUGCAAAAUAUGCUCAUUUGAUAUAGUUAAAAGGUGUAACUUUUCUUUAGGGAAGAGAAGUUUUAUAUCACAUUCAAACUCAUUUAAUAUAUGUUAAUGUUGACAAAUAUUACAUCAAACUGUUAAAAUUUUUAGACAUAAAGUUAUAUGGCGCCAAAGGUAGGGCAGACAAGUGAGUACUCGUUGCUGUUGCUAAAAUGCUUGCAAUGGAGGUGUCAAGUUGUUUACCAGAUUGGAAAGCAAGCUCUGUGGAAACACUAAUUAGAUGCUUUUGUUAGUUUUGUAGGAAGUGUGUUAAGGAAUAUUAAUGGAUAAUUUUACUGUCAUUCAAGAGAAUUACCUAACAAUCUCACACUUCAUGGGCAUUUUCAGACUGAUGCAACAAGCAUUGGUGCAUAAUAUGUCUGAAUUUGUAAAGAAUUGCUCUAGCAUGAUGUAUUUAAUAGUCUACUGGUUAGAUCCUCAGGUUCAGCUAACUCAACCUAAUGAAGGAAAAAACAUUCCUCUUCUUUUUUUGUUCUCUCUAGCCGGGCUAUGCUAAAGGGAUACUACACAUCUACUUGUUGAAAAUCUGUACAAGGCUUCUAGAAAUUGGUGAAAAUUAGUAUAAGACUUUUAGAAAUUUGGUGCCGUCAUUGACAUUUUGAUUUGGUAAUUGCUGACUAUUGACAAAAUGAAAUGGAGGUGGAUGAGUUAGGUGGCUGCCAAACCUAACUUGUGGAAUUUGUUAGCUAACAAUUGGCUAUAAAAAGGGAGCCAUGCAAAUGAGUUUUGCAUCUCAUUUUGAGUGCAUCCGAGAGUUUAUAAAAGAGAGAAAAUAAGUUUCUCUUUAUAAUAAUUUGUUUUCAAUAUUUAUAUAUGAGAGUGUGUGUAAUAAAUUGGGUCUUGGGUAGUGAUGAAUUUAUCUCAAAAUACUUGUAAUUCUCCCUGUAUAGUGAAAAAAUUAUCCUUUUUGUAAGAGUCUUGUUCACCCUCUUUGUCACUCCAUUUUGUUGGGGAGUGUAUGCCACCGUGAACUGCCUCUGAAUACUUUCUUGCUUACAGAAAGCAAGAAACUCGCCGUCUGUAUACUCUCCACCAUUAUUUGUCCUCAACCACUUGAUCUUUUCCUGGAUUCAAGUUCUACCCGCGUUUUGUAUUGUUUGAAUACUGGAAACACAUCUGACUUUUUCUUGAUUGGAUACACUCAACGUUUCCUAGAAUAAUCAUUAAUAAAAGUCACCAAGUACUUUACUCCUCUCAUGGAUAUAUCCGGUGAUUCUCAAACAUCAGAAUGAACCAAGUCUAUAAUACAUUUACUUCUGGAAACAGAUCUGCUAAAUUUUAAUCUAUUCUGCUUACUUGUAAUACAAUGCUCACUGAAUGGUAAACUUAGUGAUUUGAGUCCCGGAAGUAAGUUCCGCUCAGAGAGAAUUUUCAAACCUUAUUCCACAUGUGGCCAAGUUUGAGAUGUCUUAUCAUCGUCGACUCUUCUCCAUUUAAUGCGACACACGCAUCAGUUUUCCUGUAGUGUUUCAUCUUUAAGCAUGAAUAGCUUCGCACCGAUCUUUUCUGCCUUCAUUAAUACAAGCGCGUCUUUAACAAUCUUCAUGAUCUCAUUUUCUACAUGAGUUUUAUACCAACGACUAUCCAUUUGUCCUAAAGACAAUAAAUUCUUCCUCAAGCCUUUGACAUGUCGUACCUCCUCAAUUGUGCGAAUUGUACCAUCAAACAUUUUUAUAUUGGUUGUACUAAUACCAUCGAUCUCUAAGGCAUAAUCAUCACCCAUAUAUACAGAUCCUCCUGAGAUAGAUUUAAUGUGUAGAACCAUUCUCUCCGAAAGGUCAUGUGCCAGGUGGCUCCUGAGUAUAUAAGUCAGACGUCAGAUAACCGUUUUCUGCCUUCUAAACCAGUUGUUGCCUCGCUGUAGAUAAUUUCGCCAUCAUCCGAGGUACUUGCUACACACCUCUGAGCAUUUGAUGACUCAGGUUCUUUGCCCUCUCAUCUCUUCUGGCUGUUCCAACACUCUUUCUUGACGUGCCCUUUUUUGCCACAGUUGUAGCAUUUAACAUUUUUCUUACUUUUGGAUUUUGAUCUACCAUGAUUGUGACUCCCAUUGGGGCCACGUUCCGUUGAUCUCCCUCUCGUCACUGAUAACGCUUCUGCCUGCUGCGAACUUACCAGUAUGUCUUCCUUGUUUUUUCGCCUACUUUCCUCAUUUAAUACGGAGGUUGCAACAUCGUCGAAAAUUAGACUGUUCAUUGAAUUGUUGUUCGUCAGGUUAAUGAUGAGUUAAUCAUAUGAAUCUAGUAGACUUUGAAGUAGAAGUUCCGCAUGUUCAUUUUCCUCUAUAUUAUGACCCAACGUUGUGAGUUGUGAAAAUAUAGUUUUCAAGGUGUUGACGUAGUCAGUUUAAGGAUGGCAAAAACCGGGUCCGGGUCCGGGUCUGGCCUUUCCGGUUCCGGACCCGGAUGCCAAUUCUCCUUCCCGGAUCCGGAUAUAAACCCGCAUUUUCUUUCUCCGGGUCCGGUACGGAUUCAACCCGGAAAAAUUCGGGUUUCCGGAUUGCGGGUUUUGAACCCGGAAACUUGGAGGCUGGAAUAAUAAAGCCUUUGUGCAUGCCCCUUUUGACUCUGUACAAGAGUGGAUUAGCGGUUUAUUUGAGGUGUUGGUUGAGACACCGGCGAGUCCAAGAGGCAGUAGCCAUGAAAGCAGUGAGCAAGGUUUGAGAUCCAGCAUCCACGAACAAGAGAGAGAUGAGAUCGAGCGCCAACAAGAGUAGAUUAGCAGUUUCUUUAAGGUGUCGGUUGAGGCACCAGCGAAUCGAGGAGGUGGCAGCCAUGAGAGUAGCGAGCAAGGUUUGAGAUCCAGUAUCCAAGAACAAGAGAGAAAUGAGAUCGAAUUUGAUGAGAGAUGAGAGAUAAGGUUGAAUUUGAUGGUGCCAAAGAUUGUUUGUUGCUUUUGAUGAUGAUCGAUGAUGAAUUGACAAUGAUUUAAAUUGAUGUUGAGGAUGAUAUUGAUUGUUAUUAUUGUUGAUAAUGAAUUGACGAUGGGUGGAUGAUGAUGAAUUGAAUUGAUGUUGAGGAAGAGGAAAAUAAAGGUGGCGGUUGGGGUGGGGAUUUAGGGUUUCUUUUCGUUUCUUUCCUUUUUUUUUUUUUACUUUUGGCUUUUAUAUUUAUAUUUAAUAAUAAAAAUUAAUUAAUUAAUUAAUUAUUAAUAUUUUAGUGCGCGUCCGGGUUUUCGGAAUCCGGGUUCGGUUAAACCCGCAACCGGACCCGCAUGUAUCUGGGUUUGAAAAAAUGCUACCCGGAUCCUCAUUUUUAUGCACCCGGGGUGGGUUUAACCCGGACCGGAUCGUCCGGGUUUAUCCGGGUCCGGGCCGGGUCCUGAAAAAUUUACCAUCCCUAAGUUAGUUACUAAUAUAGAUUCCACCAUUCGAAGGGUAUAGAGUUUUCUUUUUAAGAAGAUCUUGUUGUGCAGCGUUUUGGCCUCUUACAAUUUUGUAAGAGUAUCCCAUACUUUCUUUGCUAUCUUUUUCUCUGUCACAUUAGAUAAUACUCUAUCUGCAAGUGCCAAGUGUAGAUAAAAAAUGGUGUUGCCGUCUAUCUCGUUCUAUUUGUCAUCAAUUAUCUCUAUGGGCCUUUCUCCAAUUGCUGCCAAGCAAUUAUUUUUCCUCAAUACAACUUUUAUCUUCAUUUUCCACAACGAAAAAUUAUUUCCGUUGAACUUCUCAAUUUCGUAUUUUCCCGCCAUCGCUUUUCACCACAAAUUAACUUUGCUAGGAUCAGCUUCCACCGUUUCACGUGAACAGUAAUCGUAUACGGGAACAGUACUGUAUACGUGAAUAGUACUUUUACCUUAACAGUACCACAGACUCCAAAAAAUACAACCAGUUGCUUUGAUACCACUAUUAAGAAUUUGAUGGGUAAAGCAGACCACAGCUAACAUGAAANNNNNNNNNNNNNNNNNNNNNNNNNNNNNNNNNNNNNNNNNNNNNNNNNNNNNNNNNNNNNNNNNNNNNNNNNNNNNNNNNNNNNNNNNNNNNNNNNNNNUCGUCACACAAGAGGACACCGUAGUUUACGUGGUUUGACUUUUUAGCCUAAGUUCACAGGUAAAGAUAAAAAGAUAAAAUUUUCACUAUAUAGGAAGAAUUACAAGUAUUUUGAGAUAAAUUCCUCACUAUUCAAAACACAAUUUGUUACACCCACACUCUCAUAUAUAAAUAUUGAAAACAAAUGCUUACAAAGAGAAACUUAUUUUUCUCUCUUUUAUAAGCUCUUGGAUGCACUCAAAAUGGGAUGCAAAACUCAUUUGCAUGGCUCCCAUUUUAUAGCCAAUUGUUGGCUAACAAAUUCCACAAGUUAGAUUUGGCAACCACCUAACUUAUCCACCUCCAUUUCAUUUUGUCCAUAGUCGGCAAUUACUAAAUCAAAAUGUCAAUGACGGCACCAAAUUUCUAAAAGUCUUGCACUGAUUUUCAACAAUUUCUAGAAGUCUUGUACUAAUUUUCAACAAUUCUCCCACUUGGAGAUUUGAUGAUUUUCAACAAUUCUCCCACAAGUUAGGUGGCUACCAAACCUAACUUGUGUAAUUUGUUAGCCAACAAUUGGCUUUAAAAGGGAAGCCAUGCAAAUGAGUUUUGCAUCUCAUUUUGAGUGCAUCCGAGAGCUUAUAAAAGAGAAAAAAAUAAGUUUCUCUUUAUAAGCAUUUGUUUUCAAUAUUUAUAUAUGAGAGUGUGGAUGUAAUAAAUUGGGUUUUGGGUAGUGAGGAAUUUAUCUCAAAAUAUUUAUAAUUCUCCCUAUAUAGUAAAAAAAUUAUCCUUUUUAUUUUUACAUGUGGACGUAGGCUAAAGAUCGAACCACAUAAACUACGGUGUCCUGUUGUAUGCUUAUUCUUCAUUUUUCUUCCAAUUUCAUUUUAGUUGUGGCCCUACUUCACUCAUCAAUUUCCUAACACUACUUUCACUUUUAAUUUCUCUUUGCUGUUAAAGAAAUAGAAAAUUAAAGAACUACAAAAGAAAUAAUCGGUAGCCUCAAUGUGAUUCUGCAGAGUGCAAAUGAGACCAGUAUUCCUUUACUAGCUGCCCGAAGAGUGAACCUUCCCUCUUCAUUAACUCCAUUGGCUCAUCACACUCCGCUAGUUUACCUGAACAUAGCAGAUUACCCACUUCUUUUAGUUAAUUGAAGAACAUAGAGAUGGAAUUAGUGAAAUGAACUCGUUAGAAUGAGAAAAUAUGCAGAGGCACCCAGGAAUCCAUAAAUGAGUUAUUGUUAAUACACACAAACACACACACGUGUGUGUGUGUGAGAGAGAGAGAGAGAGAGUUAUAGAUUUUCAAUGAAGCUAAUAAAUAAUGAAACUCACCAUCACUAAUGGCAAGUACCAUAGUGCAAUCCAUCACCAUUGGAAUCCUGUGAGCUACCGUGAUAACAGUGCAAUCAGCAAAUUCUGCACGAAUAGUUUUCUGCAGAAUCAUGUCAGUUGCAUUAUCAAUUGAUGCAGUUGCUUCGUCAAGCACCAAUAUGCGGCUUCUCCUCAAAAGAGCACGGCCCAAACAGAACAGUUGCCUUUGCCCCAUGCUCCAGUUUGAUCCGUCUUCCACAACUGGAAAUACCGGACUUCAGUUAAUACCAAAAUGGAAAAUAAAUUCCCAAAAUCUACAUAUUGUUAGAAUACUCACCUAAGGAGUCUAGGCCAUUUUCUUUCUCGCGGACAGCCUCUCCAAGAUGACACUUUGCAAGAACCUACACAAUUGUAGAGCAAAAAAUAAAAAUGCAGUGGCAAACAGAGAAACUAUUACCAGAUAAAAGAAUCUCCCAACCAGCCAGCAACCGCAUGGAAAAAAUCAAUUGAAAUUUACCUCCCAUAUUUCCUGGUCUGUAUGUUGCGACAAGGGAUCCAAAUUAUAUCUCACGGUCCCAUUGAAAAGUGUAGGAUCCUGAGGAAUUAUUCCAAAACGCGACCUAAGAUCGUGAAGUCCAAGCUUAGAAAUGUCAAUACCGUCUACUAAAAUUUUCCCUCCGGCUGGCUCGACCAGACGAAAUAAAGCACCUAUGAAUGUAGUCUUCCCACUGCCAGUUCGACCAACAAUACCAAUUUUGUGCCCUCCUUCAAAUGUGCAACUGAUACCCUUAAGGACGAGUGGUGAAUCGGGCCUAUACCUGAUCUGUUUGCGAAUCAUUGCUCUCAGCAUGGUAACCAUCGUAGAUCAGAAUAAUAGUAAAAUAAAUAAAUUAAAAUAAACAAAAUACCUGCAAAUCACAGAUAUCCACUUUACCAACAACCGGCCAAUUGGGUCGGGGGCGGUUGUCUUCUACUACCUCAGGGGCUUCACUUGGUACAUGCAUGUAUUGGUUAAGUCUUUCUACAGAUAUGAUAUAAUUUGCUAGAGUACACUGGUUUUGGAUUGACAUUACUAGGGAACUGUUUAAUGAAAGACCAUAAGAAAGGGCCAUUCCAAUAAAUCCUGAAAAUAACACAAGUAAUUAUUAUUACUGUAUCCUACAUAAGAAGAGCUAAGUAUAUUAAAAAAUUAUUUCGAAGUUCUAAUGCAUAUUCCUAAGAAUUUCCUGAAGUAGCAAUGAGUCUCCAAUGAAAUUAAUUUACUCACCAGGGGUAAAAGUUCCAGGAGGAAGCAAAACCAUGCAGAAUGCUGCCGAGGAUAUAACAGUUGCACUGAGUGUUUCUAGGCGUUGGAUCAACCACUCAUUUGCUGCAAAACUAUGGAAGAAAUGACUGGCAUUGGUAUCAAUGAGGUCAAGGUCUUUGCAAAAAACCGGUCUUCUCUCAAAAGCCCUAAUUGUCAUGGCUCUGCUAUAGACUCAGCUAGAUGAUUUGCUACCAAGGACUUGGUUGUGCCGUUAAGCCGCAUCAAUUCUUUUGCAGUAACAAAAUAGUAUCUCUGCGAAGAAACAAAAGCAAAUAUAAAAUUUACUCGUUAGUUCAACACCCUCCCAUCCCUGCUUCAAAUUCCAAAAUAUGCACAGGGUGUAGUUUUGGUAAUUCAUGUAUUCAUGCAACAAUAUUCACAUCACAUGGCUAAAAUGGUAGCUUUUUCCAUGGAAGAUGAAGGAAAACUGCCUCUUACCCAUGAAAACAGAAACUUUGCAUAAUAUUACCUGCAAGCGAAUUGCCAAGAAAAUCACUGGUAUGGAAACGAAUAGGACUUGCCAUGUGACAACAGCAAGUACUCCUAGAUUACUACAAGCAUUUGUGGUAGCCCCGACAGCAAAGAUUAAACUGAAUGGAAUAUCUAGGUCGACAAUACUCAGAUCAGAAGAAACCUGUAUCAGGACAAAAUUUUGAUAAUAAGAAGCAGAAAUAUCAGUCUUAUCAAUCCCUUUCAGAGAAACAAACAGUUUACGAUGAAGAUGCAUACCCGACUAAGUAUCCUUCCAAGAGGUGUAGAGUCAUAAAAAGACAUAGGUGCACGGAAAAGGGAAUUUAAAAGCUGUGAGAACAAAGAUUUUGAUGAUCUAAUACCUAAAACAACACUAGAGAGAGAUCUAGACAUCAGGAAUAGUGUUGAGACAAAUCCAAUCAACAAGUAAACCACUAUCAGCCGUAAUGUGCUGACAUUAGGAUUUUCUACAUUGGCAGCCAGCCAAGAGUUCUGCAAUAUCUGACCAAUCACAAAUGUAAGGUGAGAGAGGCUGGCUAUGGAGAAGAACAAAAAGCCUUUGUUCUGAUUAAGAUAUCGUAUGUAUGGCUUUAACCCUAUGUCCCCUGUUUCUCUUUCUUCUUGUUUAAUCAGCUGAUCACCUUUGGAUACUUCAAAUUGUUUCUCUACAUGACCCUUCUUGAUCUCCUUAGCAGGCAUUCCACUUUUCUGGGAAGGAGUGACCUCAGCAAGUCUCUCAGAACCAGCGGUUUCUUUGUGUGCGUUGACAAGUUCCUGAAAUUCUUUGCUUGAG
This 9002-nucleotide long non-coding RNA is filed under the name Citrus x clementina. RNAcentral's name for it is "Citrus clementina (C. clementina) long non-coding RNA (CCLE_LNC000617)". Lineage: Eukaryota; Viridiplantae; Streptophyta; Magnoliopsida; Sapindales; Rutaceae. The record is from RNAcentral.